UACGUAGGGGCCUAGCGUUGUCCGGAUUCAUUGGGCGUAAAGAGCUCGUAGGCGGCUGCUCAAGUCGAAUGUGAAAACUCGAGGCUCAACCUCGAGCCUGCAUUCGAUACUGGGCGGCUAGAGUCUGGUAGGGGGAUCUGGAAUUCCUGGUGUAGCGGUGGAAUGCGCAGAUAUCAGGAGGAACACCGGUGGCGAAGGCGGGAUCCUGGGCCAGUACUGACGCUGAGGAGCGAAAGCGUGGGGAGCAAACAGG
RNAcentral lists this ribosomal RNA (253 nucleotides) under uncultured bacterium. Its description in RNAcentral is "partial 16S ribosomal RNA". It matches the Rfam family "Bacterial small subunit ribosomal RNA", at positions 524 to 776 of the family's 1533-position model. The record is from RNAcentral.